Molecule: long non-coding RNA, 324 nt
Organism: Pygocentrus nattereri (red-bellied piranha)
Lineage: Eukaryota; Metazoa; Chordata; Actinopteri; Characiformes; Serrasalmidae
Exons: 2
Source: RefSeq, a predicted model, not a curated record
UCACCUUAAACGAUGCUCUGACAGCCCGGCGCCUGUUCGGUGGCUAACGCGAACAGGCGACGUUAUAAUAUCAGACUAUAGCGGUAAAUCCGGCAGGAAGCUCACAGCAGCCUCGAAAGAUCAUCAAAUAAGCGCGACGACGUGGUUAAUUAAGGAGGAUGCGGAAAACUCUGAACAGAUGGGCGAGCGCUAUGAUGAAGAUGAAGCAUUGUAACAUAUCUUUAAGUCGUCCCUGUAUGAAGCUGCUUUCUACAGCGCUGUGCUUUGACUGAGCAAAGCCGAUCCUGCCGUAGAGUUUUAAUAAAUUCACAGAUAAGAAUCAAA